CUUUUAUAGCAUCAAAGUUUCUUGAUUUUUUUGGUUUGAGAUUGCCAUGUCCUGGUGAUGGACUUCUUUUUGGUACUGUUCCAAAUCGGAAUUUAUGUUUUCAUAGACUCUUGGUUGAUUUCCCAGCUGAGAAAGUGUCGAAUGUCCAACUCUCCAUAAGAGCAAACUUUCCUUUUACUGAUACUAUUUUAGGGAAAGACCAGAAUUGUGAUUUGAAUUUGAG
Molecule: unclassified non-coding RNA, 223 nt
Filed under: Hevea brasiliensis (rubber tree)
Lineage: Eukaryota; Viridiplantae; Streptophyta; Magnoliopsida; Malpighiales; Euphorbiaceae
Source: RNAcentral